AUCUGCCCUGGGGUACGGAAUAAAUCAGAGAAAUUGGUGGUAAUACCGUAUAAUGUCUUCGGACCAAAGAUUAAUCGCCCCAGGAUGAGCCCGCGUAAGAAUAGCUAGUUGGUGAGGUAAGAGCUCACCAAGGCGACGAUCUUUAGCUGGUCUGAGAGGAUGAUCAGCCACACUGGGACUGAGACACGGCCCAGACUCCUACGGGAGGCAGCAGUUGGGGGAAUAUUGGACAAUGGGCGAAAGCCUGAUCCAGCAAUGCCGCGUGAGUGAUGAAGGCCUUAGGGUUGUAAAGCUCUUUUACCCGGGAUGAUAAUGACAGUACCGGGAGAAUAAGCUCCGGCUAACUCCGUGCCAGCAGCCGCGGUAAUACGGAGGGAGCUAGCGUUGUUCGGAAUUACUGGGCGUAAAGCGCGCGUAGGCGGUUUUUUAAGUCAGAGGUGAAAGCCCAGUGCUCAACACUGGAACUGCCUUUGAAACUGGAAAACUUGAAUCUUGGAGAGGUCAGUGGAAUUCCGAGUGUAGAGGUGAAAUUCGUAGAUAUUCGGAAGAACACCAGUGGCGAAGGCGACAUACUGGCUCAUUACUGACGCUGAGGCGCGAAAGCGUGGGGAGCAAACAGGAUUAGACAC
This 629-nucleotide ribosomal RNA is filed under the name uncultured Sphingopyxis sp. RNAcentral's name for it is "bacterial SSU rRNA". It matches the Rfam family "Bacterial small subunit ribosomal RNA", at positions 124 to 785 of the family's 1533-position model. Lineage: Bacteria; Pseudomonadati; Pseudomonadota; Alphaproteobacteria; Sphingomonadales; Sphingopyxidaceae. The record is from RNAcentral.